AUGCUGCUGCCUCCCCUCCUGGCCCUGGCUGCAGCCUGGUCUUAUGGCCAAGCACAAGUGAUUCUGAAGCAGAGAGAAGUGUCCAUUACCAGAGGGCACAAGACAACUGCAUCAAUGGACUGUCUAGCCGAGGGUAUUCCUGACUUCCAGUACGCAAACAUACACUGGUACCGACAGGUAGCUGCCAAAGCUCCAGAACGGAUUCUGUACAUUGGACCCAGUGCAGUUUUUUAUGAUGACAACGCCUAUAGGAACAAGUAUUCUUCUUCAAAGAAAGGUACAAAUGUCUGCACUCUCACAAUCAAUGACAUCAAUGAUGUGGGUUCCUACUACUGUGCCUACUGGCAUUUCCACAGAACCAACAGGUGA
Molecule: non-coding RNA, 369 nt
Organism: Melospiza melodia melodia
Lineage: Eukaryota; Metazoa; Chordata; Aves; Passeriformes; Passerellidae
Source: the annotation of a RefSeq genome assembly